RNAcentral lists this ribosomal RNA (264 nucleotides) under Pseudomonas sp. GW460-13. Its description in RNAcentral is "partial 23S ribosomal RNA". It matches the Rfam family "Bacterial large subunit ribosomal RNA", at positions 866 to 1128 of the family's 2925-position model. Lineage: Bacteria; Pseudomonadati; Pseudomonadota; Gammaproteobacteria; Pseudomonadales; Pseudomonadaceae. The record is from RNAcentral.
CUAUUUAGGUAGUGCCUCGUGUCUCACCUUCGGGGGUAGAGCACUGUCAUGGUUGGGGGGUCUAUUGCUGAUUACCCCGCCAUAGCAAACUCCGAAUACCGAAGAGUGCAAUCACGGGAGACAGACAUCGGGUGCUAACGUCCGGUGUCAAGAGGGAAACAACCCAGACCGCCAGCUAAGGUCCCCAAAUAUAGCUAAGUGGGAAACGAAGUGGGAAGGCUAAAACAGUCAGGAGGUUGGCUUAGAAGCAGCCACCCUUUAAAG